Molecule: unclassified non-coding RNA, 342 nt
Filed under: Hevea brasiliensis (rubber tree)
Lineage: Eukaryota; Viridiplantae; Streptophyta; Magnoliopsida; Malpighiales; Euphorbiaceae
Source: RNAcentral
AAAAUUGUGACAGAAAAAAGGCCUCAUGUUGGUUCAGACGAGGAAGAAGAGGAUGCCCGCGACCCCAAUGCUGUGCCGACGGAUUUUACUAGCAGGGAAGCGAAGGUUUGGGAAGCUAAAUCCAAAGCUACUGAGAGAAACUGGAAGAAACGAAAGGAGGAAGAAAUGAUUUGUAAAAUAUGUGGAGAGUCGGGCCACUUUACUCAGGGAUGUCCAUCUACUCUCGGAGCGAGUCGGAAGUCUCAAGAUUUCUUUGAGAGAGUGCCUGCAAGGGAAAGCCAUGUGAAAGCUUUAUUCUCCGAGAAAGUUAUAAAUCAAAUUGAGAAAGAUGUUGGCUGCAAA